RNAcentral lists this ribosomal RNA (463 nucleotides) under uncultured bacterium. Its description in RNAcentral is "partial 16S ribosomal RNA". It matches the Rfam family "Bacterial small subunit ribosomal RNA", at positions 28 to 507 of the family's 1533-position model. The record is from RNAcentral.
GAUGAACGCUGACAGAAUGCUUAACACAUGCAAGUCUUUGGCGAAGCUGUGCUUGCACAGCCUAGCCAAGGCGGACGGGUGAGUAACGCGUAAGGAACUUGCCCUGCAGUCAGGGAUAACAGACGGAAACGACUGAUAAGACCUGGUAAAGUCAGGCGGACUCAUGUCCAGCCUGAUGAAAAGUGAUGCUGCAGGAGAGCCUUGCGUCCUAUUAGCUUGUUGGUGGGGUAACGGCCCACCAAGGCGAUGAUAGGUAGCCGGCCUGAGAGGGUGGACGGCCACAAGGGGACUGAGAUACGGCCCUUACUCCUACGGGAGGCAGCAGUGGGGAAUAUUGGACAAUGGGGGCAACACUGAUCCAGCAAUUCUGUGUGAACGAUGAAGGUUUUCGGAUUGUAAAGUGCUUUCAGCAGGGAAGAAAAAAAUGACGGUACCUGCAGAAGAAGCGACGGCUAAAUACGUG